UACUAGAGUAGCACUCGCAUAUCAAUAAGCGGAGGAAAAGAAACUAACAAGGAUUCCCCUAGUAACGGCGAGUGAAGCGGGAAGAGCUCAAAUUUGAAAUCUUAAAGGGUUUCCCUUUACGAAUUGUAGUUUAAAGAAGUGUUUUCUGUUGAGGUUUUGGUAAAAGUUCUUUGGAAUAGGACAUCAUAGAGGGUGAGAAUCCCGUAUUUGACCUUUACUUUCAACUUUGUGAUACACUUUCAAAGAGUCGGAUUGUUUGGGAAUGCAGUCCAAAAUGGGUGGUAAAUUUCAUCUAAAGCUAAAUAUUGGCGAGAGACCGAUAGCGAACAAGUACCGUGAGGGAAAGAUGAAAAGAACUUUGAAAAGAGAGUUAAACAGUACGUGAAAUUGUCAAAAGGGAAGCGUUUGACACCAGUGUUGUUUUUCUGAAAAUCAAUUAAAGAACUGUUUAUGCUAAGCUGUUUAGACUUUAUCAGCUAAUCUGUUUAGUUUUGAGCUUUUCUUUAAUGCACUUUUCAGUUAACAAGUCAACAUCAAUUUCUUUUGCUGUAAAAAAGCUUGAGGAAGGUGGCUUGAGAUUCGUCUUAAGUGUUUAUAGCCUCUUGCCUAUGCAGUCGGAGAGAUUGAGGUCUGCAGCGUAGAUCCUUCGGGGCUAAAUGCAUUUGUGCUAAGUUAUAGCAUUUUAUAGACAACUUGUUGACUAUGAUUUGUCUUGUAGCUUACUCGCUUAUGUUAUUUUACCUACGCUUAGGAUGUUGAGCGCAUGUCUCUCUCU
RNAcentral lists this ribosomal RNA (775 nucleotides) under uncultured Neocallimastigales. RNAcentral describes it as "partial large subunit ribosomal RNA". It matches the Rfam family "Eukaryotic large subunit ribosomal RNA", at positions 20 to 616 of the family's 3401-position model. The record is from RNAcentral. Lineage: Eukaryota; Fungi; Neocallimastigomycota; Neocallimastigomycetes; Neocallimastigales.